GUACACGCUGUGACUAGCAUAUCAAUAAGCGGAGGAAAAGAAACUAACAAGGAUUCCCCUAGUAACGGCGAGUGAAGCGGGAAGAGCUCAAAUUUGAAAUCUUAAAGGGUUUCCCUUUACGAAUUGUAGUUUAAAGAAGUGUUUUCUGUUGAGGUUUUGGUAAAAGUUCUUUGGAAUAGGACAUCAUAGAGGGUGAGAAUCCCGUAUUCGACCUUUACUUUCAACUUUGUGAUACACUUUCAAAGAGUCGGAUUGUUUGGGAAUGCAGUCCAAAAUGGGUGGUAAAUUUCAUCUAAAGCUAAAUAUUGGCGAGAGACCGAUAGCGAACAAGUACCGUGAGGGAAAGAUGAAAAGAACUUUGAAAAGAGAGUUAAACAGUACGUGAAAUUGUCAAAAGGGAAGCGUUUGACACCAGUGUUGUUUUUCUGAAAAUCAAUUAAAGAACUGUUUAUGCUAAGCUGUUUAGACUUUAUCAGCUAUACUGUUUAGUUUUGAGCUUUUCUUUAAUGCACUUUUCAGUUAACAAGUCAACAUCAAUUUCUUUUGCUGUAAAAAAGCUUGAGGAAGGUGGCUUGAGAUUCGUCUUAAGUGUUUAUAGCCUCCUGCCUAUGCAGUCGGAGAGAUUGAGGUCUGCAGCGUAGAUCCUUCGGGGCUAAAUGCAUUUGUGCUAAGUUAUAGCAUUUUAUAGACAACUUGUUGACUAUGAUUUGUCUUGUAGCUUACUCGCUUAUGUUAUUUUACCUACGCUUAGGAUGUUGAAGAUGUAGCACAUCAU
This 775-nucleotide ribosomal RNA is filed under the name uncultured Neocallimastigales. RNAcentral's name for it is "partial large subunit ribosomal RNA". It matches the Rfam family "Eukaryotic large subunit ribosomal RNA", at positions 22 to 635 of the family's 3401-position model. Lineage: Eukaryota; Fungi; Neocallimastigomycota; Neocallimastigomycetes; Neocallimastigales. The record is from RNAcentral.